Molecule: ribosomal RNA, 425 nt
Filed under: uncultured bacterium
Lineage: Bacteria
Description: partial 16S ribosomal RNA
Rfam family: Bacterial small subunit ribosomal RNA
Source: RNAcentral
GUGGGGAAUAUUGGACAAUGGGCGAAAGCCUGAUCCAGCAAUGCCGCGUGAGUGAUGAAGGCCUUAGGGUUGUAAAGCUCUUUUACCAGGGAUGAUAAUGACAGUACCUGGAGAAUAAGCUCCGGCUAACUCCGUGCCAGCAGCCGCGGUAAUACGGAGGGAGCUAGCGUUGUUCGGAAUUAUUGGGCGUACAGCGCACGUAGGCGGUUACUCAAGUCAGAGGUGAAAGCCCGGGGCUCAACCCCGGAACUGCCUUUGAAACUAGGUAACUAGAAUCUUGGAGAGGUCAGUGGAAUUCCGAGUGUAGAGGUGAAAUUCGUAGAUAUUCGGAAGAACACCAGUGGCGAAGGCGACUGACUGGACAAGUAUUGACGCUGAGGUGCGAAAGCGUGGGGAGCAAACAGGAUUAGAAACCCGAGUAGUCC